GCGUAUGCAACCUGCCUGUAACAGGGGAAUAGCCUCUUGAAAGAGAGAUUAAUGCCGCAUAAUACGAUAUUCGGGCAUCCGGGUAUUUUUAACAUUUAUGGGUUACAGAUGGGCAUGCGUUUCAUUAGGUAGUUGGUGAGGUAACGGCUCACCAAGCCGACGAUGAAUAGGGGUUCUGAGAGGAAGGUCCCCCACACUGGUACUGAGACACGGACCAGACUCCUACGGGAGGCAGCAGUGAGGAAUAUUGGUCAAUGGACGCAAGUCUGAACCAGCCAAGUCGCGUGAAGGAUGAAGGUAUUAUGUAUUGUAAACUUCUUUUGUCAGGGAAUAAUGGGUGUCACGUGUGACGCAGAGGAAUGUACCUGACGAAUAAGCAUCGGCUAACUCCGUGCCAGCAGCCGCGGUAAUACGGAGGAUGCGAGCGUUAUCCGGAUUUAUUGGGUUUAAAGGGUGCGUAGGCGGUUUGUUAAGUCAGUGGUGAAAGUUUGCGGCUCAACCGUAAAAUUGCCAUUGAAACUGGCGAACUUGAGUACAGUAGAGGUAGGCGGAAUUCGUGGUGUAGCGGUGAAUGCUUAGAUAUCACGAAGAACUCCGAUUGCGAA
RNAcentral lists this ribosomal RNA (605 nucleotides) under uncultured bacterium. RNAcentral's name for it is "bacterial SSU rRNA". It matches the Rfam family "Bacterial small subunit ribosomal RNA", at positions 115 to 719 of the family's 1533-position model. The record is from RNAcentral.